Long non-coding RNA from Ornithorhynchus anatinus (platypus), 540 nucleotides. RefSeq lists it as uncharacterized. The transcript is spliced from 3 exons. The record is from RefSeq and is a predicted model, not a curated record. Lineage: Eukaryota; Metazoa; Chordata; Mammalia; Monotremata; Ornithorhynchidae.
ACGGGUUAAGGUUUUAAACAGUGGAGAGGAGGGCCUCAAAUUCAACAGCGGUGCAGGAGACAGAAGGAAGCACAGCUGAGAAAGCUACCUUUCCUAUGGAGACCUGGUAAUGCGGCUGUGAGAUUUUCAGAUGAAAGAUGCUGCCAAUGGGAACAAUGAUAAGGUACAAUGGAAACUGCCUAUUCAAUAGGGAAGAAUGCCAAUGAGCUCAGAAGAAUCCAUCAAACUUUAUUAUCCAAAAUCAAUAUGCUGCCACUCCAAAUCAAUAAGAGGCUGGGCAGACAGAGCAGAAGCUGCAGUACCUCUCUAUUAAAUGAGAUUUUUCUCCAUUAGAAACUGGAAGCUUCUCAAUGGACAAUUAACUCAAGAAUCUCUCCUUCAUUAAAUUUUAUGACUUGUAACAUUUUUUAAAUUGGUCAAACAAAAAGCUUUCAUUACAAGGAGAAUACAUUAAUUUAUUUGGCUCUAUAUCACACCAUGUAAAAAGUAAAAGCAUCUCUAAUGCUUAAUUCAGAGAACAAUAAAUUAAUCUGGACAUUA